Molecule: long non-coding RNA, 1483 nt
Filed under: Canis lupus familiaris (dog)
Lineage: Eukaryota; Metazoa; Chordata; Mammalia; Carnivora; Canidae
Description: lncRNA (ENSCAFG00000057376.1)
Source: RNAcentral
AUUUACUAAAAUACACAUAAGACAACCUUAAAGUUAUAGUAUGAAUGAGGAAUACAACAUAGAUCAAAAAAUUUCCACUUUCUUACAGAAAAAUAUAACCUAACAAUGAAACACCAUUUUUUUACUUCCCAGAAAAAAAUGGCAUGGUUUGUUAAGUGAAUUUUGAAUGAGGCCUAAAAAUAUUUACCUAUGCCACCUAUUUUGAAAUUUUUAUCCAUAAUUUCAUAGUGUUGAAAUUAUGGAUAAAAUGUUUCAUAUUGUUGAAAUGCUAUGAAACACAUAGUGUUCCGGUUGUAUCAUCACUAAAAAAAUGUUUAGCCCCUAAAGCAGUAUUUACAGUAAAUUUGGUAUGAAUGUCAAAAGAAAAAAAUUGUUUUAAAAAAUGGUGCAAAAGCAUUUUGAUUUUAGCACAACAUAUCGCAGAAAAGAAUAUGAAUACAAGUUUGCAAUUUUAUGUAUACCUCCAAAGAGACUGUCACUGACCACAGUAUUUAUAUUGCUAUAUUAGCAAUGAGGAUUUUUGGGUAUGUUUUUAAGGGCCACAUAAAAAUAGGUUCAAGGAACAGAUUAAGUUGAAGUCCUAGAUUAAAAUGUUUGGUUUAAAGAAUUUUCUACAACAAAUUUCAUGUUUAUGUAUGAAAAGUUAUAUAACCUUAUAUGAAAAUGUCAUUAUUUUCUACACUAUACUAAAUGUACUUCCUAAGAGGAGAAAAAAUUAAUAUCUAAAAUAAAUUAAGAAAAAAAAAUAAAAUAAAUUAAGAUUACAAGACUAUCAGCCAUCCUUUGAACUCAUCUAUUUACACAAAGUAUACACAUUUGUUUCAUUAUUAACCGUAAAGAAAUGAGGUGGUGACAACUACCUUUUGCACAUCAUCAACUCACUUUCGCCACAAGUGUGUCUUUGGUGUGAGUGUAUAAGACCUAGGUUUGCCCACCCCUCAUCACAUCACCUGCAGGUUUAUUAAGAAGAUGAAGGUGUAUUUUUCUUUCUUUCAAACAACAUCCCGAGCAGACCGUAAGUAGCCUGAAAUGAUAAAAUACUUAACUGGGCCUUUAGCUAUGGACACAGAUUGCUAAAAUGUAAGUUAUUUGCCCAAAUUAUCACAUCAAAUAACAAAGUCAGCCAUAAAGCAGGCUGAAAAGCAUGAAGCAUUUCACGUAAGUGCGUCUUUCAAUCCUUGAAUUUCUGCAGAAACAUUGUAACCACCAUAUAACGUGAGAGGGAUACACAGAAUCCAGAGGUUGCAGCUGCAGGUCGAUGCUUCACAGGUGUCUCUGUCUGUGAACGUCUCCCCUGCGCAGCAGGCUCGUGGAAGACCACACAGUCAAUUUUCCUUUUUUUUUUUUUCUUUUUUUUUUUUUUUCAAAGCCAUUUUCUAUUAUCAAAAGUAGGUGUGUUGGAACCUGGGAGUCUGGGCAUCUAAGACAGGGCCUAGCAAACUCCAAUUCCUUCUCUUUUCAUUUAGGACAGACCUAACCUCUG